UACGUAGGAUGCAAGCAUUGUCCGGAGUUAUUGGGUUUAAAGGGUGCGUAGGCGACCUAUUAAGUUAGUGGUGAAAACGUUCGGCUUAACCGGAUACCCGCCAUUGAUACUGAUAGACUUGAGUGCGACAGAGGGUGUUGGAAUGUGUGGUGUAGCGGUGAAAUGCUUAGAUAUCACGCAGAACACCAAUUGCGAAGGAAGAUGCCUAUGUCGUAACUGACGCUGAGGCACGAAAGCGUGGGGAGCAAACAGG
Molecule: ribosomal RNA, 253 nt
Filed under: uncultured bacterium
Lineage: Bacteria
Description: partial 16S ribosomal RNA
Rfam family: Bacterial small subunit ribosomal RNA
Source: RNAcentral